UGGGGAAUCUUAGACAAUGGGCGCAAGCCUGAUCUAGCCAUGCCGCGUGGGUGAUGAAGGCCUUAGGGUCGUAAAGCCCUUUCGCCGGGGAAGAUAAUGACGGUACCCGGUAAAGAAACCCCGGCUAACUCCGUGCCAGCAGCCGCGGUAAUACGGAGGGGGUUAGCGUUGUUCGGAAUGACUGGGCGUAAAGCGCGCGUAGGCGGAUCAUCAAGUCGGGGGUGAAAUCCCGGGGCUCAACCCCGGAAUGGCCUUCGAGACUGGUGGUCUUGAGUUCGAGAGAGGUGAGUGGAAUUCCGAGUGUAGAGGUGAAAUUCGUAGAUAUUCGGAGGAACACCAGUGGCGAAGGCGGCUCACUGGCUCGACACUGACGCUGAGGUGCGAAAGCGUGGGGAGCAAA
Molecule: ribosomal RNA, 400 nt
Filed under: uncultured bacterium
Lineage: Bacteria
Description: bacterial SSU rRNA
Rfam family: Bacterial small subunit ribosomal RNA
Source: RNAcentral